RNAcentral lists this ribosomal RNA (794 nucleotides) under uncultured bacterium. RNAcentral's name for it is "bacterial SSU rRNA". It matches the Rfam family "Bacterial small subunit ribosomal RNA", at positions 8 to 796 of the family's 1533-position model. The record is from RNAcentral.
AGAGUUUGAUCAUGGCUCAGACUGAACGCUGGCGGCAUGCUUUACACAUGCAAGUCGAGCGGCAGCGCGGGGGCAACCCUGGCGGCGAGCGGCGAACGGGUGAGGAAUACAUCGGAACGUGCCCGAGAGUGGGGGAUAACGCCGCGAAAGCGGCGCUAAUACCGCAUAUUCUCCGAGGAGGAAAGUGGGGGACCGCAAGCCUCACGCUCACGGAGCGGCCGAUGUCGGAUUAGCUAGUUGGUGGGGUAAAGGCCCACCAAGGCGACGAUCCGUAGCUGGUCUGAGAGGAUGAUCAGCCACACUGGGACUGAGACACGGCCCAGACUCCUACGGGAGGCAGCAGUGGGGAAUUUUGGACAAUGGGGGCAACCCUGAUCCAGCCAUGCCGCGUGCGGGAAGAAGGCCUUCGGGUUGUAAACCGCUUUUUAGUCGGGAAGAAAAGAUACGGGUUAAUACUCCGUGUUCUUGACGGUACCGGCGGAAUAAGCACCGGCUAACUACGUGCCAGCAGCCGCGGUAAUACGUAGGGUGCGAGCGUUAAUCGGAAUUACUGGGCGUAAAGCGUGCGCAGGCGGUUCGUUAAGUUCGAUGUGAAAGCCCCGGGCUCAACCUGGGAACUGCAUUGGAAACUGGCGAGCUUGAGUAUGGCAGAGGGGGGGUGGAAUUCCGCGUGUAGCAGUGAAAUGCGUAGAGAUGCGGAGGAACACCGAUGGCGAAGGCAGCCCCCUGGGCCAAUACUGACGCUCAGGCACGAAAGCGUGGGGAGCAAACAGGAUUAGAUACCCUAGUAGUCC